RNAcentral lists this ribosomal RNA (253 nucleotides) under uncultured bacterium. RNAcentral's name for it is "partial 16S ribosomal RNA". It matches the Rfam family "Bacterial small subunit ribosomal RNA", at positions 524 to 776 of the family's 1533-position model. The record is from RNAcentral.
UACGUAGGGGGCAAGCGUUGUCCGGAUUUAUUGGGCGUAAAGAGCGUGUAGGCGGCUGGGUAGGUCCGUUGUGAAAACUCGAGGCUCAACCUCGAGACGCCGAUGGAAACCCUCCAGCUAGAGUCCGGAAGAGGAGAGUGGAAUUCCUGGUGUAGCAGUGAAAUGCGUAGAUAUCAGGAGGAACACCGAUGGCGAAGGCAGGUCUCUGGGCUGACACUGACGCUCAUGCACGAAAGCGUGGGGAGCAAACAGG